AGAAGCCUGAGAUGUUCGACAAUCCUGUGUAUUUAGAACCUACAUUUACUUUAAACGGGAUUCCAAUAUGAGCUGUUAGAUGUCAGGCCGCCAUAGUCAGCGGAAGGCAGAAGGCAGACUGAGGUUACCCACCUGGCUGUUAGCUAGGAGUCUAAAUUACAGGAACCGGCAUUUUGGGUGUCUU
RNAcentral lists this non-coding RNA (184 nucleotides) under Agathobacter rectalis. Its description in RNAcentral is "6S RNA". It matches the Rfam family "6S / SsrS RNA". From Rfam's summary of the family: E. coli 6S RNA was the first non coding RNA to be sequenced, but its function was unknown until recently. It consists of 184 nucleotides that fold into an extended hairpin structure with a large single-stranded internal bulge. The 6S RNA specifically associates with RNA polymerase holoenzyme containing the sigma70 specificity factor. Lineage: Bacteria; Bacillati; Bacillota; Clostridia; Lachnospirales; Lachnospiraceae. The record is from RNAcentral.